UCUGGCUUAUAGCCAAGCGGUCUCCUUAGAGUGCCCAACUUAAUGAUGGUAACUAAGGACGAGGGUUGCGCUCGUUGCGGGACUUAACCCAACAUCUCACAACACGAGCUGACGACAGCCAUGCAGCACCUGUCUCCGCGUCCCCGAAGGGAACUCUCAAUUUCUUGAGAUGGCGCGGGAUGUCAAGUCCAGGUAAGGUUUUUCGCGUAGCAUCGAAUUAAACCACAUGUUCCACCGCUUGUGCGGGCCCCCGUCAAUUCCUUUGAGUUUUAAUCUUGCGACCGUACUUCCCAGGCGGAUUACUUAAUGCGUUAGCUGCGACACCACAAAGAUUAGGCUUCGUGACGUCUAGUAAUCAUCGUUUAGGGCGUGGACUAC
This 378-nucleotide unclassified non-coding RNA is filed under the name uncultured delta proteobacterium. RNAcentral's name for it is "contains 16S-23S intergenic spacer region". The record is from RNAcentral. Lineage: Bacteria; Deltaproteobacteria.